Long non-coding RNA from Condylostylus longicornis, 608 nucleotides. RefSeq lists it as uncharacterized. NCBI's taxonomy places the organism in Eukaryota, Metazoa, Arthropoda, Insecta, Diptera, Dolichopodidae. The transcript is spliced from 2 exons. The record is from RefSeq and is a predicted model, not a curated record.
AAACACUUUUGCAAUUCAUCCACUUACAUAUUAUUUAUAUUCAACAUAAUAAAUAAUUUAGUGAAUAAAUUAAAUGAUAAAUUUAAUUUUUUUAAACAUAAAAAAUUAAAGAACAGCAUUCCUAUAUAAAUAAUACCAACGUUUGUAAUUUAGUAAUGAUAUUGAUGAAGGAGAAUUAUAAAGAUGAAAGGAUGUUGUUACUUUUUAUUUAUUUCGGUAUAUAAAGAAGAUGUUGGAAAAAAAACAACUAUAAGAAAAUAUGAAAAUUUUUCUAAAAAAAAAAAAAAAUUCUUGAAUUGAAGCCAUUUUUAAAUAACAUUUUCAUUCCAUUACUUGUAUACAGUCGGUCGGUAUUCAGGACCCGCUGAAGUUAAAAUGAAAAGCAAAACAAGAAAAAUCAGAAAAUUUCAAUAAUUAUAAAGCAUUCAACUAUAGAGCGCCACUUAUAUAAUAAGAAAAAAAAAAAGUAAGUAACGGGAGGUUAUGCUAAAAAAAAAAUAAAAAAAUAUGAAAAUUUCGAGAAAAUUUUUUUACACUUUCUUGAGUCCAUAAGAGGACUUUUACUGGCUGGUUUUUUUAAAAAGAAAAAUAAAUAUAAUUUUUUUUUU